This 372-nucleotide ribosomal RNA is filed under the name uncultured organism. RNAcentral describes it as "partial 16S ribosomal RNA". It matches the Rfam family "Bacterial small subunit ribosomal RNA", at positions 527 to 896 of the family's 1533-position model. The record is from RNAcentral.
GUAGGUGGCAAGCGUUGUCCGGAAUUAUUGGGCGUAAAGCGCGCGCAGGCGGUUCUUUAAGUCUGAUGUGAAAGCCCACGGGCUCAACCGUGGAGGGUCAUUGGAAACUGGAGAACUUGAGUACAGAAGAGGAAAGCGGAAUUCCACGUGUAGCGGUGAAAUGCGUAGAGAUGUGGAGGAACACCAGUGGCGAAGGCGGCUUUCUGGUCUGUAACUGACGCUGAGGCGCGAAAGCGUGGGGAGCAAACAGGAUUAGAUACCCUGGUAAUCCACGCCGUAAACGAUGAGUGCUAAGUGUUAGGGGGUUUCCGCCCCUUAGUGCUGCAGCUAACGCAUUAAGCACUCCGCCUGGGGAGUACGGCCGCAAGGCUG